CUGAGACUGAGCUGAACGUAGUUGCUCCCGAGCCCCCACCCCACGUGCCUCCCAGACGGGGAACUGGUGUUUCUCUGCAAAUGAAGUAGCAGCAUGUUUGGGAUGAGAAACCAGAAAGAUGCGAUGGCGGACCAAUGAGCCUGAGCGAUGGUGCUGAGACAGAAGCUUCUUCAGCCUGGGGGUGGGGAGUGGAGAAGGCCAUGGGAGCCACUGCGUCACUCUCACAGCCCUGCUCUGCUCUGUGUGUUUAGCACCGGAUCCAACAGAUUUUCCCAAGUCUGUGGCAAGACCCACGCUGGCGAGUCACGCUUCCUCGUUUCCACUUCCCCGGGGCAUCACCAGCAACCAGCCCGUGAUCAACCCCAAUGGCAGGUCGAGAACCCUGGCCUCCACGGUAGCAGCCAAGAAGCCUCCUAUGUGGAUCCUUCUGGUGCCUCUUUUCCUUGUGACCCUGGAGUGGCUCUGCCGAGGAUAACGGACUAUCACAGCGUUCAGGACUCUGGCCAAGGAUGGGUUUUAAAAUUCCGGACCUACCAGUAACUAUAGAGCCAGAAUUAAACCAAAAAGCUUCCGAGUGUUGCACGUGGUCAGAGACCCUGAUGGGCCAGAUGUUCCAGCUGUCGCUGCGUCCCUGUCUCCUGGAGGAAGAAUCGCCUGAACGUAAGACUGAAGACAAGGUUGGACCACCCCGACCCGCAUCCCAUCUGUUUGCUCCGCACGUUUCCUAUUAAAUCUAUGGCUUUCCUGGGCUCUUUUGAGAUUAUUUCACUGGGACACUCUUUCAUUGUUUUAUAUGUGAGAGUAAGAUCCGUCCAUCCUAGAGGGUCAGAAGUGACUCUAAACCCAGCACUGGAAUUAGAGUGUGUCUGGCACCUGCCUGAAGUUACUCUUUUUCCCUGUGUAAGUCAUGAGUGUUUGGUGGGGAGGGGCUUUGAAACAAUGUCAAUAUCCACGUGUCCCUGUGGCUACAUCAGUGGUCUCCAAGCGCAGGGGAUUCACCCGG
RNAcentral lists this long non-coding RNA (1003 nucleotides) under Ursus thibetanus thibetanus. RNAcentral describes it as "lncRNA (ENSUTTG00000012801.1)". The record is from RNAcentral. Lineage: Eukaryota; Metazoa; Chordata; Mammalia; Carnivora; Ursidae.